RNA transcript from Ziziphus jujuba (common jujube), 1276 nucleotides. RefSeq lists it as uncharacterized. The transcript has 5 exons. The record is from RefSeq and is a predicted model, not a curated record. NCBI's taxonomy places the organism in Eukaryota, Viridiplantae, Streptophyta, Magnoliopsida, Rosales, Rhamnaceae.
UUUAAAAUACAAUUUAACAAAAGAGGAAAGAAAAUUGAAGCCAAACCUCCCUAAGUCCCAACGGUCAAAAAUGUUUUUUUAAAAAAGAGCGUUACAUUAGUUUACGAUCCCCACUGUUUUGCAUCUUUUGAAUUCCUCAAACUAUCGUCUCCAUCGAUUCCCAGUCUCGCGAAGUCCCACAGAAUUGAGACAGAGCUCGCUCAAUUUUCAUUUUAUUUUAUUUUUUUUCAAUUGCCUUUAACAGUUCGAUAAUUCUUCAAUUCCCACUCUACAUCUACAAUUCUAACAUUUUAUUUUUAUAUUUUUGGUUGAAUUGGUCAGAGAAAUGGAACCGGAGAACAUUGAUUGGAACAACAUCGAAUCAAUAUUCGAGGAAGAUGAAACGUACGAGAAGAUCAUAGCGCCUAAAUGGGUCGACCUUUCUGCUCCAGAUGAGGUGGUUGAUGAUGAAUACUGGUUCUGCAAGUCGGAUUGUAAGCAUCCAAAGACUGCAGAAGAUUUCGUUAAAUCCAAACGCAAUUCAAAGAUGAAGCACCUAAGAUCCGUAACAAUGGCUGAAAUCCUCCCAUUCAUGGACAGAAAUCGCAGAGAUGCGAAGAAAGCUUCAUCAGCUGCAGAAUUUCCUAAUACAAAGCUCCUAAAAACAGAAAGUUCAAUUUUUUCAAGCAAUACCAAUGAAGAAGACACUGAGAAUAAAGAUCCAAACUUUUCGAUUCCUACACUUCAAUCUGAAAGACCCAAAACAAAGAAAGCUUUUUUGAAGCCACAGAUUACAGAGAAGACAAAUAAGAAGAAGCAAGUAAUCGAUGAGCCAGCUGAGAAAUAUCCAUUAAAACAGAGUGCCAAACCUCGGCUAAAGAGUACUUUAUCGAUGCGCAAUUUGAUAUCUGGACGUGAAAUUCUGAAUCAGAUUUCAGAUUUCUGCACUGAAAUGAAGAAAUUGGCUACAAAGAGUUCGAAGAAAGGGAUGCCAGAGAAAUUGCCAGGUGGGAGACAGAGAGAGAGAAUGCCACUCAUUGGUAGAGAAGGGAAGGUCUAAAAAGCAAAGCAAUGAAACAGAGGAAAAGCAGAGGAAUUAUACAGAGCUUGUCAUCUGAACAAGAUUUAGGAUGCAUUUGAGUGAGAUAGGGUAAAGCACACUGCAUAGAAACAAAGUGGGGGAGGGAGAGAAUAUGUGCUUGUCUCUUUGAAUUUAUACAAUCAACGAGGAACGUGCGGUGAAAGAAAGAAAAAGAAAACCCUCUCCUUUAUUUCAAUCUCAGUCGGUCUCUUUCUA